AGUGAACGCUGGCGGUAGGCCUAACACAUGCAAGUCGAACGGCAGCACAGUAAGAGCUUGCCCUUACGGGUGGCGAGUGGCGGACGGGUGAGGAAUACAUCGGAAUCUACUUUUUCGUGGGGGAUAACGUAGGGAAACUUACGCUAAUACCGCAUACGACCUACGGGUGAAAGCAGGGGAUUUUCGGACCUUGCGCGAUUGAAUGAGCCGAUGUCGGAUUAGCUAGUUGGCGGGGUAAAGGCCCACCAAGGCGACGAUCCGUAGCUGGUCUGAGAGGAUGAUCAGCCACACUGGAACUGAGACACGGUCCAGACUCCUACGGGAGGCAGCAGUGGGGAAUAUUGGACAAUGGGCGCAAGCCUGAUCCAGCCAUACCGCGUGGGUGAAGAAGGCCUUCGGGUUGUAAAGCCCUUUUGUUGGGAAAGAAAAGCAGCAGGUUAAUACCCCGCUGUUCUGACGGUACCCAAAGAAUAAGCACCGGCUAACUUCGUG
Molecule: ribosomal RNA, 492 nt
Filed under: uncultured bacterium
Lineage: Bacteria
Description: partial 16S ribosomal RNA
Rfam family: Bacterial small subunit ribosomal RNA
Source: RNAcentral